This 279-nucleotide ribosomal RNA is filed under the name uncultured Staphylococcus sp. RNAcentral describes it as "partial 16S ribosomal RNA". It matches the Rfam family "Bacterial small subunit ribosomal RNA", at positions 83 to 356 of the family's 1533-position model. The record is from RNAcentral. Lineage: Bacteria; Bacillati; Bacillota; Bacilli; Caryophanales; Staphylococcaceae.
CCUUUGACGUUAGCGGCGGACGGGUGAGUAACACGUGGGUAACCUACCUAUAAGACUGGGAUAACUUCGGGAAACCGGAGCUAAUACCGGAUAAUAUUUCGAACCGCAUGGUUCGAUAGUGAAAGGUGGUUUUGCUAUCACUUAUAGAUGGACCCGCGCCGUAUUAGCUAGUUGGUAAGGUAACGGCUUACCAAGGCGACGAUACGUAGCCAACCUGAGAGGGUGAUCGGCCACACUGGAACUGAGACACGGUCCAGACUCCUACGGGAGGCAGCAGCG